UCAAGUGAAGAAGCGCAUACGGUGGAUGCCUUGGCAGUCAGAGGCGAUGAAAGACGUGGUAGCCUGCGAAAAGCUUCGGGGAGUCGGCAAACAGACUGUGAUCCGGAGAUGUCUGAAUGGGGGAACCCAGCCAUCACAAGAUGGUUAUCUUACACUGAAUACAUAGGUGUAAGAGGCGAACCAGGGGAACUGAAACAUCUAAGUACCCUGAGGAAAAGAAAUCAACCGAGAUUCCCUUAGUAGUGGCGAGCGAACGGGGACCAGCCCUUAAGUUGUAUUGAGAUUAGCGGAACGCUCUGGAAAGUGCGGCCAUAGUGGGUGAUAGCCCUGUACGCGAAAAUCCCUUUGCAAUGAAAUCGAGUAGGACGGGGCACGAGAAACCUUGUCUGAAUAUGGGGGGACCAUCCUCCAAGGCUAAAUACUACUGACUGACCGAUAGUGAACCAGUACCGUGAGGGAAAGGCGAAAAGAACCGCGGAGAGCGGAGUGUAAUACUACUGACUGACCGAUAGUGAACCAGUACCGUGAGGGAAAGGCGAAAAGAACCGCGGAGAGCGGAGUGAAAUAGAUCCUGAAACCGUAUGCGUACAAGCAGUGGGAGCCCACUUUGUUGGGUGACUGCGUACCUUUUGUAUAAUGGGUCAGCGACUUAUUUUCAGUGGCGAGCUUAACCGAAUAGGGGAGGCGUAGCGAAAGCGAGUCUUAAUAGGGCGUCUAGUCGCUGGGAAUAGACCCGAAUCUUAACCGAAUAGGGGAGGCGUAGCGAAAGCGAGUCUUAAUAGGGCGUCUAGUCGCUGGGAAUAGACCCGAAACCGGGCGAUCUAUCCAUGGGCAGGUUGAAGGUUGGGUAACACUAACUGGAGGACCGAACCGACUACCGUUGAAAAGUUAGCGGAUGACCUGUGGAUCGGAGUGAAAGGCUAAUCAAGCUCGGAGAUAGCUGGUUCUCCUCGAAAGCUAUUUAGGUAGCGCCUCAUGUAUCACUGUAGGGGGUAGAGCACUGUUUCGGCUAGGGGGUCAUCCCGACUUACCAAACCGAUGCAAACUCCGAAUACCUACAAGUGCCGAGCAUGGGAGACACACGGCGGGUCAUCCCGACUUACCAAACCGAUGCAAACUCCGAAUACCUACAAGUGCCGAGCAUGGGAGACACACGGCGGGUGCUAACGUCCGUCGUGAAAAGGGAAACAACCCAGACCGUCAGCUAAGGUCCCAAAGUCAUGGUUAAGUGGGAAACGAUGUGGGAAGGCUUAGACAGCUAGGAGGUUGGCUUAGAAGCAGCCACCCUUUAAAGAAAGCGUAAUAGCUCACUAGUCGAGUCGGCCUGCGCGGAAGAUGUAACGGGGCUCAAACCAUGCACCGAAGCUACGGGUAUCACCUUUGGUGAUGCGGUAGAGGAGCGUUCUGUAAGCCUGUGAAGGUGAGUUGAGAAGCUUGCUGGAGGUAUCAGAAGUGCGAAUGCUGACAUGAGUAACGACAAUGGGUCUGUGAAGGUGAGUUGAGAAGCUUGCUGGAGGUAUCAGAAGUGCGAAUGCUGACAUGAGUAACGACAAUGGGUGUGAAAAACACCCACGCCGAAAGACCAAGGUUUCCUGCGCAACGUUAAUCGACGCAGGGUUAGUCGGUCCCUAAGGCGAGGCUGAAAAGCGUAGUCGAUGGAAAACAGGUUAAUAUUCCUGUACUUCUGGUUAUUGCGAUGGAGGGACGGAGAAGGCUAGGCCAGCCUGGCGUUGGUAGUCCAGGUUUAAGGUGGUAGGCUGAGAUCUUAGGUAAAUCCGGGAUCUUAAGGCCGAGAGCUGAUGACGAGUGUUCUUUUAGAACAUGAAGUGGUUGAUGCCAUGCUUCCAAGAAAAGCUUCUAAGCUUCAGGUAACCAGGAACCGUACCCCAAACCGACACAGGUGGUUGGGUAGAGAAUACCAAGGCGCUUGAGAGAACUCGGGUGAAGGAACUAGGCAAAAUGGCACCGUAACUUCGGGAGAAGGUGCGCCGGUGAGGGUGAAGCAUUUACUGCGUAAGCCCACGCCGGUCGAAGAUACCAGGCCGCUGCGACUGUUUAUUAAAAACACAGCACUCUGCAAACACGAAAGUGGACGUAUAGGGUGUGACGCCUGCCCGGUGCCGGAAGGUUAAUUGAUGGGGUUAGCGCAAGCGAAGCUCUUGAUCGAAGCCCCGGUAAACGGCGGCCGUAACUAUAACGGUCCUAAGGUAGCGAAAUUCCUUGUCGGGUAAGUUCCGACCUGCACGAAUGGCGUAACGAUGGCGGCGCUGUCUCCACCCGAGACUCAGUGAAAUUGAAAUCGCUGUGAAGAUGCAGUGUAUCCGCGGCUAGACGGAAAGACCCCGUGAACCUUUACUAUAGCUUUGCACUGGACUUUGAAUUUGCUUGUGUAGGAUAGGUGGGAGGCUUUGAAGCGUGGACGCUAGUCUGCGUGGAGCCAACCUUGAAAUACCACCCUGGCAACUUUGAGGUUCUAACUCAGGUCCGUUAUCCGGAUCGAGGACAGUGUAUGGUGGGUAGUUUGACUGGGGCGGUCUCCUCCUAAAGAGUAACGGAGGAGUACGAAGGUGCGCUCAGACCGGUCGGAAAUCGGUCGUAGAGUAUAAAGGCAAAAGCGCGCUUGACUGCGAGACAGACACGUCGAGCAGGUACGAAAGUAGGUCUUAGUGAUCCGGUGGUUCUGUAUGGAAGGGCCAUCGCUCAACGGAUAAAAGGUACUCCGGGGAUAACAGGCUGAUACCGCCCAAGAGUUCAUAUCGACGGCGGUGUUUGGCACCUCGAUGUCGGCUCAUCACAUCCUGGGGCUGAAGCCGGUCCCAAGGGUAUGGCUGUUCGCCAUUUAAAGUGGUACGCGAGCUGGGUUUAGAACGUCGUGAGACAGUUCGGUCCCUAUCUGCCGUGGACGUUUGAGAUUUGAGAGGGGCUGCUCCUAGUACGAGAGGACCGGAGUGGACGAACCUCUGGUGUUCCGGUUGUCACGCCAGUGGCAUUGCCGGGUAGCUAUGUUCGGAAAAGAUAACCGCUGAAAGCAUCUAAGCGGGAAACUUGCCUCAAGAUGAGAUCUCACUGGAACCUAGAGUUCCCUGAAGGGCCGUCGAAGACUACGACGUUGAUAGGUUGGGUGUGUAAGCGCUGUGAGGCGUUGAGCUAACCAAUACUAAUUGCCCGUGAGGCUUGACCAU
RNAcentral lists this ribosomal RNA (3182 nucleotides) under Pseudomonas syringae pv. actinidiae ICMP 19072. Its description in RNAcentral is "bacterial LSU rRNA". It matches the Rfam family "Bacterial large subunit ribosomal RNA". The record is from RNAcentral. Lineage: Bacteria; Pseudomonadati; Pseudomonadota; Gammaproteobacteria; Pseudomonadales; Pseudomonadaceae.